UACAGAGGGUGCAAGCGUUAAUCGGAAUUACUGGGCGUAAAGCGUGUGUAGGUGGUUUGCUAAGUCAGGUGUGAAAUCCCCAGGCUCAACCUGGGAACUGCAUUUGAUACUGGCAGGCUAGAGUGUGGUAGAGGAUAGUGGAAUUCCCGGUGUAGCGGUGAAAUGCGUAGAUAUCGGGAGGAACAUCAGUGGCGAAGGCGGCUAUCUGGACUAACACUGACACUGAGACACGAAAGCGUGGGGAGCAAACAGG
RNAcentral lists this ribosomal RNA (253 nucleotides) under uncultured bacterium. RNAcentral's name for it is "partial 16S ribosomal RNA". It matches the Rfam family "Bacterial small subunit ribosomal RNA", at positions 524 to 776 of the family's 1533-position model. The record is from RNAcentral.